UAGUUCACCGACGCGUAACGUGUUGUUGAGGGCGUGGUGUGAGCCAGGUUCCAGGGUCGGCCGGGGCUUCCGGAAAAGGGGACGGCUUCUACUGCUGCUCCGACUUUGGGUUUCUGAUCCAACGUUCGCGCUGCUCCGCUCGCGGCUCCAGCCAGCUUCGUGACCUGUUAAGAAGAUGGCACCACGAUUGUAAUGCAGUGAAUGGAUGUGGGAGAAAUGAGACAGACAGUCAUUUGGCUGUAGUAUUGCCAACCCACAGUUCUCCAGGACUGGUUCAACUGGAAGGCCAAUUAUUCUAAUCCUUUCUCAUGGCUCUGUGUGAUGAUCCCCAAAGCUGUCCAUUUGGCCAACAAGGAACAUCUACCUAUACAACAGACACCCUUUAGUAUGGAAUGAAGUCUGCAGCCCACCAUUACGGCCCAUGUUCUGAAACAACCUCCCACUGAGCUCUGUGAUCUCCAGCCACACACAGUUGCUUGCUGGUCACUCCAUCUAGGGCCUGUGUUCCCAUGGAUGAAACACCUUCAAGGAUUGUCCCCUGAGGGUAUUGUAAAAGCAUUUUCAAGCUUCAAAUUAGACUGGUCGCUACAGGUGGCUUCAGUACCAUGUCCUUGGUGACUUAUACACAGUGUCCGGCAGACAGACUGGAGAUCCAUUUAACUGGAAACUUGGACCUGGGGUUCCAUUUAAUUGGGCACCAGCUCUGCACCAAAACACAUAUGGAAC
Rhinopithecus roxellana (golden snub-nosed monkey) is the source of this 726-nucleotide long non-coding RNA. RefSeq lists it as uncharacterized. Lineage: Eukaryota; Metazoa; Chordata; Mammalia; Primates; Cercopithecidae. The record is from RefSeq and is a predicted model, not a curated record. The transcript is spliced from 6 exons.